GCCGCCGGUCCGGGUCCGCCAUGGCCUCGAACUGCGCGGGGGGUUCGUCGGCGGGGGGCGUCGGGGCGGCGUUGGGUUCGGCCCUCAGCGCCAGCAAAACCAAGACCAAGAAGAAACACUUCGUCUGCCAGAAGGUGAAGCUGUUCCGGGCCUCGGAGCCGCUGCUCAGCGUCCUCAUGUGGGGGGCCAACCACACGAUCAAUGAACUCAGCAAUGUUCCUGUCCCUGUCAUGUUAAUGCCCGAUGACUUUAAAGCCUACAGUAAGAUUAAGGUGGACAAUCAUCUAUUCAACAAGGAAAACUUGCCAAGUCGCUUUAAAUUUAAGGAGUAUUGUCCACUGGUGUUCCGAAACCUCCGAGAAAGAUUUGGGAUUGACGAUCAAGACUACCAGAACUCAGUGACACGAAGCGCCCCAGUGAACAGCGACAGCCAGGGCCGAUGUGGGGCCCGGUUCCUCACCACCUAUGACAGGAGGUUUGUCAUUAAGGCAGUGUCAAGCGAGGAUGUAGCAGAGAUGCACAACAUCUUAAAGAAGUACCAUCAGUUCAUAGUGGAGUGUCAUGGGAACACCCUCCUGCCCCAGUUCCUUGGCAUGUACCGGCUCACCGUGGACGGAGUGGAAACCUACAUGGUGGUUACCAGAAACGUAUUUAGUCACAGGCUGACUGUGCACCGGAAAUAUGACCUGAAGGGCUCGACGGUAUCCAGGGAAGCAAGCGAUAAAGAGAAGGCCAAGGAUCUACCAACCUUCAAGGACAACGACUUCUUGAAUGAGGGUCAGAAGCUGCAUGUUGGAGAAGAGAGUAAAAAGAACUUCCUUGAAAAACUGAAGCGGGAUGUGGAGUUUUUAGCUCAGCUGAAGAUUAUGGAUUACAGCUUGCUUGUUGGGAUCCACGAUGUUGACCGAGCAGAGCAGGAAGAGAUGGAAGUGGAGGAUCGGGCAGAGGAUGAGGAGUGUGAGAACGAUGGUCUAGGAGGCAACCCCAUUUCCUCCUAUGGCACACCCCCUGACAGCCCUGGCAAUCUCCUCAACUACCCUCGCUUCUUUGGGCCUGGAGAGUUCGAUCCUUCUGUCGACGUCUACGCCAUGAAAAGCCACGAAAGUGCCCCCAAGAAGGAAGUGUACUUCAUGGCCAUUAUAGACAUUCUUACGCCAUAUGAUGCAAAGAAGAAAGCUGCACAUGCUGCCAAAACAGUGAAACAUGGGGCUGGGGCAGAGAUUUCCACCGUGAAUCCAGAGCAGUACUCUAAACGCUUCAAUGAAUUUAUCUCCAAUAUCCUGACAUAGUCGUCUUCAGCCUUCAGUGAGAAAUGAAGAGAAGAGGGGCUACUUCCAAACAGAGAAUGCAGCCUGUGACACUAAAACAGACACUGUAGCAGCAUGUGGGGUGUGCAUGUGUGUAUGCGUGCGUGUGUGUGUGUGCAAGAGUGAGUGUGUGGCACUGUGUGACUUCCGAGAAAACUAAUUCUAGGUGCACCCUCCAACAGUCCACUUGACCCAGGUGGAAAAGUGGAUUUUUAUGUUACAGAAGUGCCCAGACAUAGAUUUGAGGGCUUUUUAAAACAAGAAAAGUGCAUUGUUUCAGCACUGCUCUUUCUAAUGACAUUUUCUCCUCUCUGAUCAAGAGAAUCCCAUAGGGAUAUGAUAUGUGGCACUGUAUAAAAGGGGUCGCUCUAGAUCACAUUCAGUGAGAGUGAAGCAGUGCCUGAUUCCACAAACUACUACUUUUUUUUUUUUUAUUGGACUGUAUUUACCAGAAAGACAUACAAGCCCUUUUAUUUCCCUCUUGAUAGGAAUUGGAAGGAAAAUAGCUCACCAUUUCAAGGAUGGAAAAUAUUACUCUGAUAAGGAGGAGUCGCUGAACUUUAGGAUUUAGAGUUUUGAACAAACCUCUUGCAGUUGAAACAUGUUGCUUAUCUGCCUUGAAACUGUUUUCACAUAUGCCUUUGUUUCGGGAAUAAGCUGUUUCGAAUGUCUGUCCUGUGCUGUAACGCGUGCUACAGUUUGCUGUGUGGAAUUUGGUCCUUUUGAGAGAUAACUGGUGCUCAUCACAUCCUGGUAAUUUCCCUAGACUAACGCUAGCUCUGGUCUGGAUUCUGAAUGUGGGCUUGGGUUUUUUUAUGUUCAUACCCACAUUUGUGAUGUGAAUCCAACAGGUCUCAACUUUGAAGGGGACAAAAGGGGGCUAAAGUUUCAGCCCAUAAGAGUGCACUGUAAAUAGAGUCUUUAAGAAAUCAAAAACUAAUAUUAGGGGUCAUAAUGAGAUAUGAAUCUUUUAUUCAUUCAUGGGUCAUUCCCUUUGACAUGGGACAAAUUUCUUCUGCCACUGUAGUCCAGUCCCUAUUCUGUGUGAUGUGGGGGCUAACACACCAUUGUCUGGGAGGCUGAAGAGUCUCAUGUCUUAAGGUGUGUAGCUGGAAAAGCCACAAAACAAAUGCAGCUAUGAGAAUACUUUAAAAAAGGGAGGACUUAGAGGGUAUCAUCAGCUUAGUUUUGUGGGCAUUAUGUUGGUUGCUUUUCUCUUAAACAAUAAGCACUUAAGUUUACUAUCAAUUAGAAAUUAAAUACCAAUCACUUUUUAUUCUUGACAGUUUUAAAAAUCUGCAUUGAAUCUGCAACUUUGGCCUGGUAAGUUUGCCGUUCUCCUUUUGGGAAACUAGCUUGUACCUUUUAAACUGUUUAUCUUUAAAUCAUGUAUUAAAAAAAUAAAAGAAAAAGGGGGGAGGAGGAGAGAAGGAAAUUAGUGAACUGCAGACAUCCUGCACUGAGACACUACAAAACAAACAACCCAAAGAAAGUAGAAGAAUGAAGCUUGCAUAGCUAGGAGCAACAGUCUCAUUUACUGAAUUUCAUAAACAGGAAUGAAAUUAAAAUGCAGUUAGUUCCUGCAGCAAUCUUUACAGAAGUCAUGAUGCUAAGGGCUAAGAGCAGUUAACUGUAUUUUCUUAUUCCACUCUAAACAAACUCCUGCUGGAAUUAAAUUGGCUGUCUCUGGCUCAAGUGAUAUGAAAAGCCCCAUAAACUCUAUUCACUUUAGCACUUCCCCAAUUCUGCCACUUCUGUCAAGUUGCCAUACCGUGUGUAUUAAAGUAAUUAAAUGCAAUUUUCUCACUUAAUGAUGUAUUACCCAGGUAUGUAACUUUGUUUAACAUAAGCAUUUUGUAUAUUGUUUACAUUUUGAGAGGUAGCAUUAUGUUAAAAAUGCUAAUUUUUGUUUCUAGACAGUAUUUUUAUUACCAGAAUAAGAAGUGAAGCUGCAAAUAUUUGAUUUGUUUUUAAAAGGGACUUUUUCUUUUGUUUUUGUUGUUUUGUUUUGUUUUUUUUUAAUCUUGUUUUAGGUCACUUUUUUAACUCAAGUAUUUAAAAGGAAAACCCAGCCCUUUCAAUUCUGGUUUUACAACUGCCUGUGCUAGUUUGUUGUCUGUUUCUGGUGUGAAUUUAGUUCUAGUUUGCUGAAUGUAGAUAUUUCUGUCUGUAGCAUGUACCCUGCGGAACACUUUACACUGAAGUGCAUUUGACUGAAAACCACCCUCGGCUGAAAGAGUUGCAAUAGGUAGGCAGAUCACUCAGAUCCUGGUCAGAGUGCAGGAUUUUUCAAGAAAUUGCAGUGCAAUUCUUGGGUCAACUGGAGUUUCAAAAAGAAAGAAAAACUUAGUGUGCAGUGUCUCUCUCCAGUGCCUGAAGGCAGGGUGAGUUUGUGUGAGAAGCAAGCUGCAGGAUCUGUAGUCCUGCCUGUACUGAGGGUCUCUCUCUUUCUGAACAUGGGCCUGAUCUGUCAAAAUUUAAGAACUAAAAACUGCUUUGAACCUAGAACUUAUCUUCCUCGUUGAGAUAGCUCCUACAGUGUAAAUAAGAGUGGGAGAAGGAAAGCAAGAGUUGCGGAGUCACAGUUUGGGUGCUGCUCUGCUCCAAUAGUGCAAUAAAAACCACUCGAGAACAUGUUGGGUCACCCUUUAAUAGGAACCACGUGUUCUGGAGGUACCACACAGCACCCACCCUUUGUGUCAGCGCUAGGAAGGAGGCCUGAUAUUUGCUAUAUGUAAGAAGAACGUCAGCAGGAGUUCACUUCUCACAGCAAGGAGCAGUGGGAUCCUUCCCUCUGGUCUUGUACACGCCUCUGAUUGAUUGACGUGUUUUUAAUUAUAAAAGCCACGAUCAUGACAUUCAUUACAGGGAGAACUUCUAGGGUAGUAGGUGACUCCAGAUUUCCUGCAUAAAUGAGGCUGUACUCCCACAUCUGAGAAUCCUAGUUUUGAAUUGGAUUAUCGUGAUCAGCAAGAACACUAAAACACUUGAGUCUUAUUUCCUUUUCUGGGAGGAAACUCCUGCUUUCCCCUCCAGAGCGCUGCCACAGGUUCCUUCAGUGGGGACAUCAGCUGGGGACUCGCCUCUUAGCCCAAGAAAGGCACAAAGCAAGGUUGUAUUGUAGUUAUGGGUCAUGUUUGGUAGGGGUUGUGUCUUAGCCUUGACGGACGGAUGCCUCCCAGUCCUGUGACUACUAUGCAGUCUUUAUAGAUGCCUCCCUUCAAGCUGCACAGAGGUCAAAGUGUUUAACCUCAAGGUGGUACAAACCUUUCAGAAGUCAGUGUGUGUGUCCUAAACUUGGUUUGCAACACUGCAUAACCAAUCUGAGACAGAUCGUCCUUACAAUAGCUCCAAAAACAAAACAGGUAUCCUCUCCCCAUCUGUGUCUUAAUGCCCCAUUGCAGGUUUGCCUGUCAACUUCCCCUACUUCUGCAGAGCCAUUCUCCAGUAUCCGUAUUAGCCACUACUGAUUUUCCUUGCUCUUUGAAACGAGUAUCUAUCUUGUGUAAUAGCGAUGGCAAAGCUCGGGGAACCAACUGCUGGUCAUCCAUCAUUUUUAGUGGUUUCAGUUUUCACCACUCAGAAAUUGUGCUGGUCUUUGUUUAGCUGCACAAUGCUAAAUGCGGCUGGAUUGAGUUGGGUCAAGUGAGCGUAUUACACACAGGUCACAUGGGUGGGCAGGGCUAAUCAGUGCAACUGAAAAAAUGUGAAUAAAUUAAGUUUAAUCUAAAACUAAAAAAAAAAAAGCAUUAUAGGUUUUUUCACUGCUGUUU
Molecule: RNA transcript, 5080 nt
Organism: Haliaeetus leucocephalus (bald eagle)
Lineage: Eukaryota; Metazoa; Chordata; Aves; Accipitriformes; Accipitridae
Gene: PIP4K2B
Gene name: phosphatidylinositol-5-phosphate 4-kinase, type II, beta
Exons: 11
Source: RefSeq, a predicted model, not a curated record